GUAGGUGGCAAGCGUUGUCCGGGAAUUAUUGGGGCGUAAAGCGCGCGCAGGCGGUUCUUUAAGUCUGAUGUGAAAGCCCACGGGCUCAACCGUGGAGGGUCAUCGGAAACUGGAGAACUUGAGUACAGAAGAGGAGAGCGGAAUUCCACGUGUAGCGGUGAAAUGCGUAGAGAUGUGGAGGAACACCAGUGGCGAAGGCGGCUUUCUGGUCUGUAACUGACGCUGAGGCGCGAAAGCGUGGGGAGCAAACAGGAUUAGAUACCCUGGUAGUCCACGCCGUAAACGAUGAGUGCUAAGUGUUAGGGGGUUUCCGCCCCUUAGUGCUGCAGCUAACGCAUUAAGCACUCCGCCUGGGGAGUACGGCCGCAAAGGCUG
RNAcentral lists this ribosomal RNA (375 nucleotides) under uncultured organism. RNAcentral's name for it is "partial 16S ribosomal RNA". It matches the Rfam family "Bacterial small subunit ribosomal RNA", at positions 527 to 896 of the family's 1533-position model. The record is from RNAcentral.